GUUUGAACCAUUCAGUGGCCAUAACCAACUGUGGAAUGCCAUAAAUGGAGCAAUAUAACGACUGGAGCUACCCAGCAUCCUUCAGAUUAACAGCUGGCUCUCCAAGGCUCCUUUGCAAAAGCAAUGCAGUCCUUCACACAGCAGCCUCUUUGGGCUAAGAUGAGCAAAGAUCUUUGAUGCUUCCAUUUUCUCACUCCAUGAAUGGAUCAAAGAGCCCAAAAUCCACAGGGCUUUGAAGCAGGAGGAGCACUGGAAGAGAGAGAUUACAGUCAGCUAGAACAGAAAUGCAUUAGUCUGGAGCUUGAUUGGUCUGGUUUUGUAGUUGACAUUUGUGAGCAUGAAAGCAUUAGGGAGAAGUAACAAUGCCAUUUUUAGAUAAAAUAAUAGUAGAUUAAAAAAAAGUUAAUUUUGUUCUAAAUUCCACAGUAAUAUUAUGUCUUGCAGUUAAUUUCUAACUAUCCUGAAGUGAUAACCAGUUUUCUUUUGUGUAAAAGGAGCCAUAGUCUAAGGAGACUCUUGAGUGGCAGCCAAGAUAUGAAAAAUGUUAUUUGAAUUAGGAAUUCUUAUCCAUGUUUAUAGUACUUUCCAGAGGCUUUCUCUCAUUUUUAGGCCUUUUUCACAAAAGCAUAUGCAAUAAAAAUGUUACUGCUGCCAGCUUGUAUGCCUGAAAGGUCAAUUCUUCUUUUUGUUCUAACUUUAUCAGUUUCUUUAAUAAAAGAUAUUAACUCUCUUCACAAACCUGUCUCACGGAGAGAAGAAAAAUAUCCCCAUCUCCAAAGAAAAUAUCACUUCUAUUUAAUGAUUAAAACAGAUCAGUGUGAGAGAAGACAUAAGGCAGCUACCAGAAAAUUCUGGCCCAAGAAGCCAAUGACCUUGAGUGGACACCAAAACCACACCUUACACAAAUUAUCCCUUCAGUGUUUCCAGAGUCUGUCUUUGGCAGCACACAAAUUUAUUCACCCACACUGAAUAUGUCUCCAGCUCAAGUUUUAAGGACAGAUCAGGAACUUCAAAAGCCAAGAAUGCUGUCCAGCUGACAAUAUGCAGACUCUAAGGCAAAGGCUCCAAAAAAUUGGUGCCUUUAUGUUCCUACCUGUUACAUUAAACACCAGCACACCU
Molecule: long non-coding RNA, 1119 nt
Filed under: Cyanistes caeruleus (blue tit)
Lineage: Eukaryota; Metazoa; Chordata; Aves; Passeriformes; Paridae
Description: lncRNA (ENSCCEG00000009154.1)
Source: RNAcentral